RNAcentral lists this ribosomal RNA (465 nucleotides) under Vreelandella stevensii. RNAcentral describes it as "partial 16S ribosomal RNA". It matches the Rfam family "Bacterial small subunit ribosomal RNA", at positions 338 to 795 of the family's 1533-position model. Lineage: Bacteria; Pseudomonadati; Pseudomonadota; Gammaproteobacteria; Oceanospirillales; Halomonadaceae. The record is from RNAcentral.
CCUACGGGAGGCAGCAGUGGGGAAUAUUGGACAAUGGGGGCAACCCUGAUCCAGCCAUGCCGCGUGUGUGAAGAAGGCCCUCGGGUUGUAAAGCACUUUCAGUGAGGAAGAACGCCUGGUGGUUAAUACCCAUCAGGAAAGACAUCACUCACAGAAGAAGCACCGGCUAACUCCGUGCCAGCAGCCGCGGUAAUACGGAGGGUGCGAGCGUUAAUCGGAAUUACUGGGCGUAAAGCGCGCGUAGGUGGCUUGAUAAGCCGGUUGUGAAAGCCCCGGGCUCAACCUGGGAACUGCAUCCGGAACUGUCAAGCUAGAGUGCAGGAGAGGAAGAUAGAAUUCCCGGUGUAGCGGUGAAAUGCGUAGAGAUCGGGAGGAAUACCAGUGGCGAAGGCGGCCGUCUGGACUGACACUGACACUGAGGUGCGAAAGCGUGGGUAGCAAACAGGAUUAGAUACCCGAGUAGUC